GAUGAACGCUGGCGGCGUGCCUAAUACAUGCAAGUAGAACGCUGAAGGAGGAGCUUGCUCUUCUGGAUGAGUUGCGAACGGGUGAGUAACGCGUAGGUAACCUGCCUGGUAGCGGGGGAUAACUAUUGGAAACGAUAGCUAAUACCGCAUGACAACAGUUAUUGCAUGAUAACUGUUUAAAAGGGGCAACUGCUCCACUACCAGAUGGACCUGCGUUGUAUUAGCUAGUUGGUGAGGUAACGGCUCACCAAGGCGACGAUACAUAGCCGACCUGAGAGGGUGAUCGGCCACACUGGGACUGAGACACGGCCCAGAAUCCUACGGGAGGCAGCAGUAGGGAAUCUUCGGCAAUGGACGGAAGUCUGACCGAGCAACGCCGCGUGAGUGAAGAAGGUUUUCGGAUCGUAAAGCUCUGUUGUAAGAGAAGAACGAGUGUGAGAGUGGAAAGUUCACACUGUGACGGUAUCUUACCAGAAAGGGACGGCUAACUACGUG
Molecule: ribosomal RNA, 495 nt
Filed under: uncultured bacterium
Lineage: Bacteria
Description: partial 16S ribosomal RNA
Rfam family: Bacterial small subunit ribosomal RNA
Source: RNAcentral